GAAAGGAAAACAUACUUAAGUGGCUGUAACAUGUUCAGCUGAAAACAAAUGGCCUAAUUGUGGAAAGAGUUCCAGCUGAAAGAACCCAUUGUUCACCAUACCACAGAGUUUUAAAGAAAAAUCUACACCUUGGACUUCUGUACGGACUUUUGUUUCCACUGUGACUCACUUACUGACAUCAACAUCUGUUUUAGAGCCUGGAGCCUUUCCAGAGAAGGAGUUUAUUUGGUAGUGGCUGCUAUGUCACAAGGAUGCAAAAUCUAAGAUAGUUCUACAUAUGAGCUGCAGCAGAGCAUGGAAACCAGAGCUGAGCAGAAGCCUCUCAUAGAGAGACUGAGAAGAAUCUCAGCAGAAUGAUUUACAAGCUCUUUUCAGUGAAUAGGUGGAGG
Molecule: long non-coding RNA, 389 nt
Filed under: Coturnix japonica (Japanese quail)
Lineage: Eukaryota; Metazoa; Chordata; Aves; Galliformes; Phasianidae
Description: lncRNA (ENSCJPG00005005802.1)
Source: RNAcentral